This 681-nucleotide long non-coding RNA is filed under the name Homo sapiens (human). RNAcentral describes it as "HSALNT0273168". Lineage: Eukaryota; Metazoa; Chordata; Mammalia; Primates; Hominidae. The record is from RNAcentral.
UCCCCAUCACAAUAAACAGGUGUAAUACUGAUACGACUAUGAGACAGGCAUAAUUGUUGCGUCUUUUCUUAGGUGGGGAAACUGAGGAUCUUAUGUCCUAGCCAGCAUGCCUGACAAAGAGGACACAGCAAGAAGGUGGCUGUCUACAAGACAGGAAAAGAGCCCUCACCAGGAACUGAUUCUGCCAGUGCCUUGAUCUUCAACAUCCCAGCCUCUGGAACUGUGAGAAAAUUUUUGUUGUUUCAGCUACCCAAUAUACAAUAUUUUGUCCAUGGCAGCUCGAGCAGACUAAGACAGUAGCACUAUUUUGUUAACCAUAUUUUGAAAUUGAUAAUAGUGAUUUUGUACUGACAAUGUGGGGAGGAAAGUUGCUAAACAGCUAUAAUAUUUCAACAAUGAAACAACAGCUUUUCUGAAAAUCAUAGGAUAGGAGAUCAUAUUGCUUGAUAGCUUGGAAAACCAUUUACAGGAAGAAUAAACUUACUAAAAGAGGACACCAAUUUUUGUUUAACUAUAAAGUAGAUGCUUGAGACAUGUGGCUAAAUAAAUGGACCAAAAUAUAUAAAGAAACAAUGACCCAUAUUUCUUAGAACAUAGCUGUAAUUUUCCAAUAGACAGUAAAAGGGAAGUGAUGACACUUCACUCAGUAUUGGGUUGAAUCAUAUUAAAAGUAACAUUUUG